GCCCCGGUACUCAGUGGUAGGGCCUAUAUUUGGUAGCGAAAGCGCCUACAAUAACUAGGUCCCAGGUUCGAAUCCUGCCCUGUGGCU
Meloidogyne enterolobii is the source of this 87-nucleotide non-coding RNA. NCBI's taxonomy places the organism in Eukaryota, Metazoa, Nematoda, Chromadorea, Rhabditida, Meloidogynidae. The record is from the annotation of a GenBank genome assembly.